RNAcentral lists this small RNA (130 nucleotides) under Klebsiella pneumoniae. RNAcentral describes it as "RtT RNA". It matches the Rfam family "RtT RNA". From Rfam's summary of the family: This family represents a bacterial cis-regulatory element known as RtT RNA. The exact function of RtT is unknown although it is thought that it may be involved in changing the cellular response in relation to amino acid starvation. Lineage: Bacteria; Pseudomonadati; Pseudomonadota; Gammaproteobacteria; Enterobacterales; Enterobacteriaceae. The record is from RNAcentral.
UAUUCUGCCCCACGGGGAAGGAUGAGAAGCUUCGACUAAGGUUCGACUCGAGCGAAGCGAGAGAACGUUGCCGCAGGCAACGGCCCGAAGGGCGAGGCGCUUUAGCGCCGAGUAAUCCUUCCCCNCACCA